Ahaetulla prasina is the source of this 691-nucleotide long non-coding RNA. RefSeq lists it as uncharacterized. NCBI's taxonomy places the organism in Eukaryota, Metazoa, Chordata, Lepidosauria, Squamata, Colubridae. The transcript has 3 exons. The record is from RefSeq and is a predicted model, not a curated record.
CUACCGCUGCUGCAUGAACGCCACUGUCUCCUUCUCCUUCCUUGCCGGGUAUUAAGAGAGGAGCGGUCGGAAGGAAAAACACCUCUUCCUGCAAAACGCCCCGCAGCAGUCCAGCUAGCCGGGGCGGCCCCGUGAUUCGCCACCGAGAACAGCUUCAAGGGCCUUCCUCUCUUGCAGCCCCGGCGCGCGGGACGGAAGAUGGGAACCCAGCCGGAGUGGUUUUGUUUUGUUUUGAUGCCAGCUGCUGCUGCUGCUGCCGCCGCCGCCGCCGCCUUGUCAGCUGCUUCCCUCCCAAGAACAACAACAACGCCUAAUUCUCAACAACUGCAUCAUGCUGCGAACCCUCUCUGAACACAACUCCAAAAAGCAGCACUUGCAAGACUGAUGUCAGCAGAAGUAGUUGUGACAAGAAGUAUCCCCUGAAGUACUAAUUCUAUCUUUAUUAUCUCCAAUAGGGUUCUAGCUGAUCAUGGUUAUGCCACUGAGAAAAGGAUGAAACUGAAGCUUGGAAAGACAAGAAAAAAUAAUUGAGAACUUGUCAAGAAUUCAAGUCUUCAGCAUCAGAUGGACUACUGGUAAUCUUUAAGAACUCCCAUGAGAAUAACAAAGUUACAGAAGAUUGGAAGAACACAAAUAUGAUCUCCAUCUUUUAAAACGAAAAUAAUAGGUCUCAAUAAACUACCGUCCUCUA